Molecule: ribosomal RNA, 251 nt
Filed under: uncultured prokaryote
Description: partial 16S rRNA
Rfam family: Bacterial small subunit ribosomal RNA
Source: RNAcentral
ACGGAGGGUGCGAGCGUUAAUCGGAAUCACUGGGCGUAAAGCGCACGUAGGCGGUGUCGUAAGUCGGAUGUGAAAGCCCUCGGCUCAACCGGGGAACUGCAUUCGAUACUGCGAUGCUUGAGUGCCGGAGAGGGUGGCGGAAUUCCAGGUGUAGGAGUGAACUCCGCAGAUAUCUGGCGGAACACCAUUGGCGAAGGCUGCCACCUGGCCGGCAACUGACGCUGAGGUUCAAAGGCGUGAGGAUCAAACAG